This 1194-nucleotide long non-coding RNA is filed under the name Nicotiana tabacum (common tobacco). RNAcentral describes it as "long non-coding RNA (NTAB_LNC012065)". The record is from RNAcentral. Lineage: Eukaryota; Viridiplantae; Streptophyta; Magnoliopsida; Solanales; Solanaceae.
UAUGAAUAAUUUAAAGCUACUAAAACAGUUACAUUCCAUAAAAUCACUUAAAUUUCAAGAAGUAUCAACUACCAAUAAUAUUACAUAGAAAUAAAAAAACUAAAAUAUAAAAAUAUCCUUGAAAGCAAUCAGCCUAACCUCUAUUUCUUUUCAAUCGUCACCUUUAUUUUUUUAUUUUGUUGUUGUUGUAUCUUUUGCUCUUCUGAUUGAUUUUGAUCUCUACCUUUGAAAAAGUAGGAGGUUUUUUCCCCUCCAUUAGUCACCAAUUGCGUGUGUUGUUGACACUCUUUCAGAGGGAAUUGUAUUGUAUAAUUCAAGAGCAAACGAUGCUUGUGAUUUGGCUAAUUUCCUACACACAAAAGAAUUGUUCUUAAUCAAAUAUGAUUAAUUAAAUCUUCUAUAAAAGUAACUAUUUAUCACAUAAUUAUUAAUACUAACCUCAUAAAUCUUCCUAAAGUAGUUUAAGUGCAUUAAUAUUAAGAUACACUAACAGAUACAUGCUAAAGAUGACCACGUUAUUCAUAUAACCCCAAAACACUAAAAGAAAAAAAAGAAAAAGAGAUACUCAAUGUACCAAAACUUAUCAAUAGAUGUGUAGCUGAGUGAACCAGAAUUAGAGAAGUAUCAUCUUGACACAAGAAAAGCAAAACUCACAUCUUCGUAAGGAAAAAAAGACGUUUUUCUAAUAUUAACUUGUCUUCUUGUUGUCUUUUGCCAAAUAAUCUUCUCUCCCGUGAUUUUACAUAUAAAAUUUAUACAUACAUAGAGUAAAAAAUAUAUAAAAAAUCAAAUAAACUAACCCAACCCAACCUUCAAUAAAAAAGGAAAAUACUGAAGAUCUUGCUAACAUAUAAUCUGUGUUCAAAAUAUUUAUAUUCACAAGCACAGAAGAGAUAUAGAACAAAAACUAACCCAAUCAACUGCAACCAUCGUUUAAAAAAGAAGCACAGCAGAUGUUGAAGAAAGUGAAAACAAAGAGAGUCCUUGGAGCUAGUUCAUUUUUCUCCUGAAAUUUAGUCCACUGUUUGUCCAUGAUAACUCUAUAAAGAAUCGGAUUUCCCUUGAACUAUGUGGCACCGACAAGAAUUCUAAGCGUAUAAAUUGUAAGAGUCCUAAUGAAAAUUUUAUCUUUGGUUGGAAAUAUAAAUCGUAUCCAAUAUGAAUCCUAACGGAAAUAAACUAUAAACUUUGUAG